Molecule: ribosomal RNA, 253 nt
Filed under: uncultured prokaryote
Description: partial 16S ribosomal RNA
Rfam family: Bacterial small subunit ribosomal RNA
Source: RNAcentral
ACGGAGGGUGCAAGCGUUAUCCGGAUUUACUGGGUUUAAAGGGUGCGUAGGCGGCCCUGUAAGUCAGUGCUGAAAUAUCCCGGCUUAACCGGGAGGGUGGCAUUGAUACUGCAGGGCUUGAGUACAGAUGAAGUAGGCGGAAUUAACGGUGUAGCGGUGAAAUGCAUAGAUAUCGUCAAGAACACCGAUAGCGAAGGCAGCUUACUAAGCUGUAACUGACGCUGAGGCACGAAAGUGUGGGGAUCAAACAGGA